This is a long non-coding RNA of Perca flavescens (yellow perch), 310 nucleotides long. RefSeq lists it as uncharacterized. The record is from RefSeq and is a predicted model, not a curated record. The transcript has 4 exons. Lineage: Eukaryota; Metazoa; Chordata; Actinopteri; Perciformes; Percidae.
ACUGUCUUACAGGGUUCCUUGGAUCUUUGUGCUGUUGUUGAGCAGUGGUGCUUGUUUACCCUUAAAAGAAGAAUACAUAUAUCCCUAUAAGUUGCCCUCGAGCUCUGGUGAUGAAUCUGCUUCUGAUGAUGGACAUGCUCCUUCUCCACGAAGUUUCAAUUACCCUGCAAAAGCUGGUGGCUUCCAGUUUUUUGUCAAUCCUGCAUCCUCAAACUCUGGUGGCCAAGGCCCUUAUCCUACAACAGGUGGUGGUCAACAAGGCAGUGGCGGGCUUGGAACUGUUCCUCAAGGCGGUGCUCCUCGAGGCGGC